GGAGGUGCGCAGCAUCCCCGACCCGCCUCCUCCUCCGCCCCCUCGGAACCGGGGCUGGGGUUGGAAAGGAUUGGGUGGGAGGAAUAGUAAAGCGGAGGGGUGUUUGAUAAGGGUCACCUUGAGGAUGCUUCAGAGGAGCUUGGGUUAGCUCAUUCAGUGCUGCUUUGUACCUAGAAGAGGCUUCUUUUGCCAACUGGGUCAAUCCUUGGCUGAGACUUCCCCUGCCCUUCACCUCCUCUUGAUAUGACUGCAUUGCACAGUACCUAAAAGCCAUGAAACUAGAGGAGCAAUAAAUGAAAGAAGAUAUUGAUGCACAUUAUCAAUCUCGCCAAUAUGAGAGAGGCGGAUCUUUCUAUCCCUGCAAAAUAUUUCUCUUUUUUAAUAACAUAUCACAUUCCCCCUACACACUCUUUAAUCAGCAUAUUUCCAUGUUAACUGCCAAGAUGAGGCAGUCUGGGGAAAAUGCUGAGCUGCAUCAGGAUAAAGUUGUCCAAAGGAUGGAGAGAAGAAAAGUGGAUGCACCAUCCUUGAAGACAUUCAAGGUCAGGCUGGACUGGGCUCUGAACAACUUGUUCUUGAUGUAGGUGUCCCUGUUCAUUGCAGGGGAUUUGGAUUAGAUGAUGUUUAAGGGUUCGUUUCAACUCAAACAAUUAUAUGAUUCUGUGACUCUUGUUUACUGCAUGAGAAGCAAUAAUACACUGAAAAAAUACCCUAUGGGGCACGUUGUUCUGGGGUAACUGGGAGACUGGCAAUGUCACAAAGUCUGUUGGGUCUCCAUUUUGGAUGAGUACAGUGGCAAGAAUAUCCAGGAGCAAAGCUCCCUUGGCAGUGACUUAAAAGGACUUCAGGAGCUGCAGGAAAGCAGAAUGUUCUGAAAGCUUCUGGCUGCAGUAAGAGCUGGCACAUUAAGAUCUGCUUAAAUAUCAGGCUGCCUUCAACAGCCGUUGUACUUAAGCUUAUGGUUGUUUUGAGAGUUAAAGGAAAAUAAAUGGAACAGGUUGCCCAGAGAAGUUGUGAAUGCUCUAUCCCUGGAGGUGUUCAGGGCCAGGUUGGAUGAGACUCUGGGCAACCUGGUCUAGUGGUUGGCAACUGGGCCUGGGGAGGGGGGUUCAACUUCAUAAUCUUUGGGGUCCCUUCCAACCCAGGCCAUCCUAUGAUUCUAUGAUAAAUCCAUCUGGUUGGUCCCAUCAGCAGAUCUGAGCUUUGCAGGUCCUUUGGCUUUGUGCAGCAAUGAAGGAUCAUUUCUCCCCAAGCAUUUAAUAUAUAUAAAUUACUGAUCUGGACUGUAGAAUUCCUCUCAAAUUGUCAGAAGAAGGUGCCCUGCAACUUAUGCUGCAACAGCGGUAUGAACUCUGCUUCUUGGGAACUCAAUGUAGAAACACCUCCUUUGUAAAGAGAGUAAAGGAAGGAGCUGCUCUGUUUCUGCUGCUUGGCAGCAGGGUGCAGGGACCUGCCUGCAGCAUCUCAGGUCUGCAUCUUGCCUCUGCUGCAAGGGAUAAUUACCAAGAAAGUGUCAGAUCAAGGCUAUGAAUCAUGAGUAGCUGAAGGAAGAAAGAAAGGGAUAUUUAGCACGACUGCUUCCAAAUCUAGAUAUCUGUUAGAAGGUGCCUAGGGAUCACAGGGGAGAAAAAAGUCAGAAAAAGACCUGAGCUGUGGACCUGAACACUUCACAGGGUGUCAGAAAAUCACUGGUGCUUCACAGAUACACAAAACCAGUCUUUUACAGUCAAAUACAUACAGCAUUGCUAGGAGGGAGCUUGAUUGCAAGCCUCCCUGUUAUCCAAAAUACCAGCAUCUAAGGGUCAGGAAAUUGCACCAGAGCUUUUAGUUUCAGUUCUGAACAAAAAAAGACAUGCCUUGCAAAGAAACCUUUUGGAAAAUAAUCUAUGUGUUGACCUGAGAAACAGCAACUGAAAAGAUAACAGUUUACCCUCAUUUUUAUUAUUAACCAUUCUCAUGGACCUAA
Non-coding RNA from Coturnix japonica (Japanese quail), 1966 nucleotides. The record is from RefSeq and is a predicted model, not a curated record. NCBI's taxonomy places the organism in Eukaryota, Metazoa, Chordata, Aves, Galliformes, Phasianidae.